Molecule: ribosomal RNA, 1875 nt
Filed under: Staphylococcus aureus
Lineage: Bacteria; Bacillati; Bacillota; Bacilli; Caryophanales; Staphylococcaceae
Description: partial 23S ribosomal RNA
Rfam family: Bacterial large subunit ribosomal RNA
Source: RNAcentral
GUGAAAAGCACCCCGGAAGGGGAGUGAAAUAGAACCUGAAACCGUGUGCUUACAAGUAGUCAGAGCCCGUUAAUGGGUGAUGGCGUGCCUUUUGUAGAAUGAACCGGCGAGUUACGAUUUGAUGCAAGGUUAAGCAGUAAAUGUGGAGCCGUAGCGAAAGCGAGUCUGAAUAGGGCGUUUAGUAUUUGGUCGUAGACCCGAAACCAGGUGAUCUACCCUUGGUCAGGUUGAAGUUCAGGUAACACUGAAUGGAGGACCGAACCGACUUACGUUGAAAAGUGAGCGGAUGAACUGAGGGUAGCGGAGAAAUUCCAAUCGAACCUGGAGAUAGCUGGUUCUCUCCGAAAUAGCUUUAGGGCUAGCCUCAAGUGAUGAUUAUUGGAGGUAGAGCACUGUUUGGACGAGGGGCCCCUCUCGGGUUACCGAAUUCAGACAAACUCCGAAUGCCAAUUAAUUUAACUUGGGAGUCAGAACAUGGGUGAUAAGGUCCGUGUUCGAAAGGGAAACAGCCCAGACCACCAGCUAAGGUCCCAAAAUAUAUGUUAAGUGGAAAAGGAUGUGGCGUUGCCCAGACAACUAGGAUGUUGGCUUAGAAGCAGCCAUCAUUUAAAGAGUGCGUAAUAGCUCACUAGUCGAGUGACACUGCGCCGAAAAUGUACCGGGGCUAAACAUAUUACCGAAGCUGUGGAUUGUCCUUUGGACAAUGGUAGGAGAGCGUUCUAAGGGCGUUGAAGCAUGAUCGUAAGGACAUGUGGAGCGCUUAGAAGUGAGAAUGCCGGUGUGAGUAGCGAAAGACGGGUGAGAAUCCCGUCCACCGAUUGACUAAGGUUUCCAGAGGAAGGCUCGUCCGCUCUGGGUUAGUCGGGUCCUAAGCUGAGGCCGACAGGCGUAGGCGAUGGAUAACAGGUUGAUAUUCCUGUACCACCUAUAAUCGUUUUAAUCGAUGGGGGGACGCAGUAGGAUAGGCGAAGCGUGCGAUUGGAUUGCACGUCUAAGCAGUAAGGCUGAGUAUUAGGCAAAUCCGGUACUCGUUAAGGCUGAGCUGUGAUGGGGAGAAGACAUUGUGUCUUCGAGUCGUUGAUUUCACACUGCCGAGAAAAGCCUCUAGAUAGAAAAUAGGUGCCCGUACCGCAAACCGACACAGGUAGUCAAGAUGAGAAUUCUAAGGUGAGCGAGCGAACUCUCGUUAAGGAACUCGGCAAAAUGACCCCGUAACUUCGGGAGAAGGGGUGCUCUUUAGGGUUAACGCCCAGAAGAGCCGCAGUGAAUAGGCCCAAGCGACUGUUUAUCAAAAACACAGGUCUCUGCUAAACCGUAAGGUGAUGUAUAGGGGCUGACGCCUGCCCGGUGCUGGAAGGUUAAGAGGAGUGGUUAGCUUCUGCGAAGCUACGAAUCGAAGCCCCAGUAAACGGCGGCCGUAACUAUAACGGUCCUAAGGUAGCGAAAUUCCUUGUCGGGUAAGUUCCGACCCGCACGAAAGGCGUAACGAUUUGGGCACUGUCUCAACGAGAGACUCGGUGAAAUCAUAGUACCUGUGAAGAUGCAGGUUACCCGCGACAGGACGGAAAGACCCCGUGGAGCUUUACUGUAGCCUGAUAUUGAAAUUCGGCACAGCUUGUACAGGAUAGGUAGGAGCCUUUGAAACGUGAGCGCUAGCUUACGUGGAGGCGCUGGUGGGAUACUACCCUAGCUGUGUUGGCUUUCUAACCCGCACCACUUAUCGUGGUGGGAGACAGUGUCAGGCGGGCAGUUUGACUGGGGCGGUCGCCUCCUAAAAGGUAACGGAGGCGCUCAAAGGUUCCCUCAGAAUGGUUGGAAAUCAUUCAUAGAGUGUAAAGGCAUAAGGGAGCUUGACUGCGAGACCUACAAGUCGAG